This is a long non-coding RNA of Cavia porcellus (domestic guinea pig), 1591 nucleotides long. RefSeq lists it as uncharacterized. The transcript is spliced from 2 exons. The record is from RefSeq and is a predicted model, not a curated record. Lineage: Eukaryota; Metazoa; Chordata; Mammalia; Rodentia; Caviidae.
AUCUGACUCCAGCCCUGCGCCGCUACCUGCAGCGCUAGCAGGGCUGUCCGUAGCCGCCGUCCGCGCCGUGCUGCCCUGUUGCAAAGCAGCUGCCACGCUCCCUGCACAGCCUCGGUGCGCUCCCGGGGAUCUGGCUGCGUCGAGGGCCCCUGAGUGCUGAGUACGCGCCCACUCUGCACGAGGGCGUCUGCGAUCUGGCUGCGGUCCUGGCCCAACGCCGUCUGCUCCAGCUGCAGUGCGCGCCCCUCCAGCCAAGCCAUCUCCUCCUCACAGCUGUGCAGCAGCUCUGCCCGCCGCAGAGUCUGCUCCAGUAGGGCCCGCCUGAGGGCAGUAAGGCCACGGAGGGCUUGGCUUAGGGAGUAGGGCUGGGUAAGGGGUACCCCACCGCGGUCAGACCCUGCCCUUAGAUGGGAUUUUUCUUUUCUCUGGGUGACUCAACAGGUGAGACAAAAAGGCCUUGGCUGCGGAGAGUAGAUGCAGAGGAGGCUGCCAGGCCAGCAAUAUUUAGCCUGGGCCGGAGAUAAUUUGGGUUACAGAGAAGUUCAGAGGAGGUUGAAGGGCUGGGGAUGAGGAAUUGCGGGCCAGCCUUUACCGGGCCCUGACAAGAGACACCAGUCUCUGGUGGAGCUGAACCAGCACCCUGGCUUUGGCUUGCAGCAUCUCCACGCUCAUGCCAACGGAGGGGUCCAGCUCUGCCGUCUGGUUCGCCAAGUGGCUCACGUGGGCCUCGUGUGCCGAGACCUGGGCCUCCAGCAGGUUGUGCCUCUGAAGCAGCUCCACUACUUCUUCCAGCUGCCGCCCACAAUUGGUGGAGCUUGCCGGCACCUGACCAGAUAGAAAGCAGUCGUUGCAGUCCCAAGAUGCUGGCCUCCUAUACCCUGCUACGGUUCCCAGAAACUGGCUGGUCUGGUACCCACCUGCAGCUCCCGGAGCCGUUCUGCGGUAACCUCCACCUCCUGCAGCAGGUUCAGCACAGCCUGCACACCUGCUAUCUGCUUUCUCUGCUCCUGUAGAUGCUGAAGGAGCUUCUGCCAGCGCCCAGUGAUCUCCCGCUGCCUGAAGGACAAGAAUAAGGGUCCAGCAGGCAGGAGCAGAAAGCUCCCUCCAGGUUCCUGGCUAUGGUAUGCUUGGCUGCACUGUAGGAGUCAGACUUCUAGACUGGAGGCAGGAUCUGGACUUAAGUGUCCUGGUUUAUAGAGAUCACGGCAUGUGUCCUGCCCGGGUCACAGGCAGAGACACCAGAAGAGGGCUUGGAAGGUUCAGGCCUUCAGCUCUGAUGCCCCUUCCGGAUGCUCAGAUUAAUUUUUGUGUGUGUGUGUGGUAAUGGGAAUUAAACCCAGGCCUUCACCCAAGGCUAUGUUUCCAGUCUUUAAACUUUUUUUGUGUGUGGGACAGGGUCUCACUAAAUUGCCUAGACUGGGCUUGAAUUUGAGGUCCAGAUUUUUCGUAUUUGUCUGCUUUCGUAAUAGUGUGUAAGCCUUAUGAGGAGAGAGAGAUUUUUUUUUGUCUUCUUCACUGCUACAUUUCUGGCCCCUAGAAUGGAGCAUGGGACAGAGUAGAUAAAUAAAUGCCCAUUUUGUGAGUGAGCUAA